AUUAUUGGAGCAAAACCAGUCUUGUACUGUUUGCUAACUCUGGAUAAUUCUGCUUAUCGCAUGGUCUCGUACCGGCGAAGUUUCUUUCAAGUAUCUGCUUUAUCAACUAUCGUUGGUAGUUUAUUGGACUACCAUGGUGUUGACGGGUAACGGAGAAUCAGGGUUUGACUCCGGAGAGGGAGCCUUAGAAACGGCUACCAUGUCUAAGGAUAGCAGCAGGCGCGAAAAUUACCCAAUAUCAAAACGAUGAGGUAGUGACGAGAAAUAACGAGAUCGUUCUCUUUGAGGUCGGUUAUUGGAAUGAGUACAAUCCAGACAUUUUAACGAGUAUCUACGAGAGGGCAAGUCUGGUGCCAGCAGCCGCGGUAAUUCCAGCUCUCGUAAUGUAUAGAAUUAUUGUUGCGAUUAAAAAGUUCGUAGUUGGAUUGUCAAGCGGGAAUGGGUCCACCUUCGCGGUGCGUACUCAAUGCCCGCAUUUUGCUGGUUUUCGCGGCGUCGACUCUGUUGGCGUUCGUGAUGCCAGCAGGAUUACUUUGAACGGCUCAAGUGCUCAAAGCGAGUCUUAUGACUGAAUACCGGUGCAUGGAAUAAUGGAACAAGGUUGCGGCCGAGUUUUAUUGGUUUUGUCGGCUGAAACAAUGGUUAACAGGAACAGCCGGGGGCAUUCGUAUCGCUGCGCGAGAGGUGAAAUUCGUGGACCGUAGCGAGACGCCCGACAGCGAAGGCAUUUGCCAAGAGUGUUUUCAUUAAUCAAGAACGAAAGUCAGAGGUUCGAAGGCGAUUAGAUACCGCCCUAGUUCUGACC
RNAcentral lists this ribosomal RNA (805 nucleotides) under Bursaphelenchus hofmanni. RNAcentral's name for it is "SSU rRNA". It matches the Rfam family "Eukaryotic small subunit ribosomal RNA", at positions 213 to 1031 of the family's 1831-position model. The record is from RNAcentral. Lineage: Eukaryota; Metazoa; Nematoda; Chromadorea; Rhabditida; Aphelenchoididae.